GUAGGUGGCAAGCGUUGUCCGGAAUUAUUGGGGCGUAAAGCGCGCGCAGGUGGUUCUUUAAGUCUGAUGUGAAAGCCCCCCGGGCUCAACCGGGGGAGGGUCAUUGGAAACUGAGGAACUUGAGUGCAGGAGAGGAAAGUGGAAUUCCACGUGUAGCGGUGAAAUGCGUAGAUAUGUGGAGGAACACCAGUGGCGAAGGCGACUUUCUGGCCUGUAACUGACACUGAGGCGCGAAAGCGUGGGGAGCAAACAGGAUUAGAUACCCUGGUAGUCCACGCCGUAAACGAUGAGUGCUAAGUGUUGGGGGGUUUCCGCCCCUCAGUGCUGCAGCUAACGCAUUAAGCACUCCGCCUGGGGAGUACGGUCGCAAAGACUG
This 376-nucleotide ribosomal RNA is filed under the name uncultured organism. Its description in RNAcentral is "partial 16S ribosomal RNA". It matches the Rfam family "Bacterial small subunit ribosomal RNA", at positions 527 to 896 of the family's 1533-position model. The record is from RNAcentral.